GAGUUGUAAUUUGCAGAGGAUGUUAUGGAAUCUGUAUGGACUCAAAUUCUUUGGAAAAAGAUGCCAUGGAGAGUGACAGACUCGUACUUUCUACUACAUUUUCCAUGUAUAACUCCUUCAAAGAGUCGAGUUGUUUGGGAAUGCAGCUCUAAGUGGGACGUAAAUUUGUUCCAAAGCUAAAUACCGGCUAGAGACCGAUAGCGCACAAGUAGAGUGAUCGAAAGAUGAAAAGCACUUUGAAAAGAGAGUUAAAAAGCACGUGAAAUUGUUGAAAGGGAAGCUUAUGUCAUCAGUAAUGACGGCAUUGUUCAGCCUUUUGGUGUAUUCAAUGUUUGUCAGGCUAGCAUCAGUUUGGGUAGCUGGAUAAAAGUGUUGGAAAUGUAACU
RNAcentral lists this ribosomal RNA (386 nucleotides) under Astrothelium macrocarpum. RNAcentral describes it as "eukaryotic LSU rRNA". It matches the Rfam family "Eukaryotic large subunit ribosomal RNA", at positions 140 to 541 of the family's 3401-position model. Lineage: Eukaryota; Fungi; Ascomycota; Dothideomycetes; Trypetheliales; Trypetheliaceae. The record is from RNAcentral.